UAACGCGUAGGUAACCUGCCUGGUAGCGGGGGGUAACUAUUGGAAACGAUAGCUAAUACCGCAUGACAACAGUUAUUGCAUGAUAACUGUUUAAAAGGGGCAAUUGCUCCACUACCAGAUGGACCUGCGUUGUAUUAGCUAGUUGGUGAGGUAACGGCUCACCAAGGCGACGAUACAUAGCCGACCUGAGAGGGUGAUCGGCCACACUGGGACUGAGACACGGCCCAG
RNAcentral lists this ribosomal RNA (228 nucleotides) under uncultured bacterium. RNAcentral describes it as "partial 16S ribosomal RNA". It matches the Rfam family "Bacterial small subunit ribosomal RNA", at positions 111 to 334 of the family's 1533-position model. The record is from RNAcentral.